Paenibacillus sabinae T27 is the source of this 94-nucleotide non-coding RNA. The record is from Rfam. NCBI's taxonomy places the organism in Bacteria, Bacillati, Bacillota, Bacilli, Caryophanales, Paenibacillaceae.
CAAAAAAAUCGGGCCCCGUCUCGCGACGAGGCCCUUCAUGGGAGAGGAGAAACCGGACGAAGAGCUUAUGGGGAAGCGUAAGCUUGCUCCGCGG